RNAcentral lists this long non-coding RNA (243 nucleotides) under Bos taurus (domestic cattle). RNAcentral's name for it is "long non-coding RNA NONBTAT022388". Lineage: Eukaryota; Metazoa; Chordata; Mammalia; Artiodactyla; Bovidae. The record is from RNAcentral.
CCCUGACUCUGAUUAUUUUUAAAAGAUACAGAGCUUUAGAAACGUAAAGUGUUUUGAACUUUUAAGAGUUCUGCACUGAUUGAGCAAUAAAAGCUGAUUUAUGCUCUGGGAUAGCAUCAUAAGAUUUUAUCACUGAAACACAAUAUAAAUUAACCUUUCACGCAGACCUUCUGCGCAUUCCUACUUUUCUCUCUUCACAAUGUGAAUUAGUUCUUAUUUCAGCAUAUGCAUAGAUAAAGAACU